Molecule: ribosomal RNA, 492 nt
Filed under: uncultured bacterium
Lineage: Bacteria
Description: partial 16S ribosomal RNA
Rfam family: Bacterial small subunit ribosomal RNA
Source: RNAcentral
AGUGAACGCUGGCGGUAGGCCUAACACACGCAAGUCGAACGGCAGCACAGUAAGAGCUUGCUCUUACGGGUGGCGAGUGGCGGACGGGUGAGGAAUACAUCGGAAUCUACUUUUUCGUGGGGGAUAACGUAGGGAAACUUACGCUAAUACCGCAUACGACCUACGGGUGAAAGCAGGGGAUCUUCGGACCUUGCGCGAUUGAAUGAGCCGAUGUCGGAUUAGCUAGUUGGCGGGGUAAAGGCCCACCAAGGCGACGAUCCGUAGCUGGUCUGAGAGGAUGAUCAGCCACACUGGAACUGAGACACGGUCCAGACUCCUACGGGAGGCAGCAGUGGGGAAUAUUGGACAAUGGGCGCAAGCCUGAUCCAGCCAUACCGCGUGGGUGAAGAAGGCCUUCGGGUUGUAAAGCCCUUUUGUUGGGAAAGAAAAGCAGAAGGUUAAUACCCCGCUGUUCUGACGGUACCCAAAGAAUAAGCACCGGCUAACUUCGUG